RNAcentral lists this ribosomal RNA (468 nucleotides) under uncultured bacterium. Its description in RNAcentral is "partial 16S ribosomal RNA". It matches the Rfam family "Bacterial small subunit ribosomal RNA", at positions 28 to 507 of the family's 1533-position model. The record is from RNAcentral.
GACGAACGCUGGCGGCGUGCUUAACACAUGCAAGUCGAACGGAAAGGCCCUGCUUUUGUGGGGUGCUCGAGUGGCGAACGGGUGAGUAACACGUGAGUAACCUGCCCUUGACUUCGGGAUAACUUCAGGAAACUGGGGCUAAUACCGGAUAGGAGCUCCUGCUGCAUGGUGGGGGUUGGAAAGUUUCGGCGGUUGGGGAUGGACUCGCGGCUUAUCAGCUUGUUGGUGGGGUAGUGGCUUACCAAGGCUUUGACGGGUAGCCGGCCUGAGAGGGUGACCGGCCACAUUGGGACUGAGAUACGGCCCAGACUCCUACGGGAGGCAGGAGUGGGGAAUAUUGCACAAUGGGCGGAAGCCUGAUGCAGCAACGCCGCGUGCGGGAUGACGGCCUUCGGGUUGUAAACCGCUUUCGCCUGUGACGAAGCGUGAGUGACGGUAAUGGGUAAAGAAGCACCGGCUAACUACGUG